RNAcentral lists this ribosomal RNA (404 nucleotides) under uncultured bacterium. Its description in RNAcentral is "bacterial SSU rRNA". It matches the Rfam family "Bacterial small subunit ribosomal RNA", at positions 355 to 774 of the family's 1533-position model. The record is from RNAcentral.
UGGGGAAUUUUCCGCAAUGGGCGCAAGCCUGACGGAGCAACGCCGCGUGAGGGAGGAAGGCCUGUGGGUUGUAAACCUCUUUUCUCAAGGAAGAAGUUCUGACGGUACUUGAGGAAUCAGCAUCGGCUAACUCCGUGCCAGCAGCCGCGGUAAGACGGAGGAUGCAAGCGUUAUCCGGAAUUAUUGGGCGUAAAGCGUCCGUAGGUGGUUUAGAAAGUCAGUUGUUAAAGCCCACAGCUCAACUGUGGAUCGGCAAUUGAAACUACUAGACUUGAGUGUGGUAGGGGUAGAGGGAAUUCCUAGUGUAGCGGUGAAAUGCGUAGAUAUUAGGAAGAACACCAGUGGCGAAGGCGCUCUACUGGGCCAUAACUGACACUGAUGGACGAAAGCUAGGGGAGCGAAAG